AAGUCGUAACAAGGUUUCCGUAGGUGAACCUGCGGAUGGAUCAUUAAGAAGCAUCCUUUUUACUAUUAUAAAGGUCUUCAACCCUUGUGGUCUAAUAGAUUUGUAUUAGUUGGGUUAAAUUGAUCAACUAAACACAUGCGUGUUUGAUUGAUUUGCCCGACAUCAUCAUACUAAACCAUAUCACUUUUAUACAUUACUGACUGAUGUUGCCUUGCGACUAUUGUGAUUCUUCAUUGAUGAUGAUGAUCAAAAGUAACAAGUAAAACAAUUGUAAUCUUAAUACAACUGCUAGCAACGGAUCACUCGGCUCUCAC
RNAcentral lists this unclassified non-coding RNA (314 nucleotides) under fungal sp. RNAcentral's name for it is "partial internal transcribed spacer region". The stretch from base 1 to 46 matches the Rfam family "Eukaryotic small subunit ribosomal RNA", at positions 1786 to 1831 of the family's 1831-position model. Lineage: Eukaryota; Fungi. The record is from RNAcentral.